Molecule: ribosomal RNA, 497 nt
Filed under: uncultured bacterium
Lineage: Bacteria
Description: partial 16S ribosomal RNA
Rfam family: Bacterial small subunit ribosomal RNA
Source: RNAcentral
GAUGAACGCUGGCGGCGUGCCUAAUACAUGCAAGUCGAGCGAACGGACGAGAAGCUUGCUUUUCUGAUGUUAGCGGCGGACGGGUGAGUAACACGUGGAUAACCUACCUAUAAGACUGGGAUAACUUCGGGAAACCGGAGCUAAUACCGGAUAAUAUUUUUAACCGCAUGGUUCAAAAGUGAAAGACGGUCUUGCUGUCACUUAUAGAUGGAUCCGCGCUGCAUUAGCUAGUUGGUAAGGUAACGGCUUACCAAGGCAACGAUGCAUAGCCGACCUGAGAGGGUGAUCGGCCAAACUGGAACUGAGACACGGCCAAGACUCAUACGGGAGGCAGCAGUAAGGAAUAUUUAGCAAUGGGCGAAAGCCUGACGGAGAAACGCCGCGUGAGUGAUGAAGGUCUUCGGAUCGUAAAACUCUGUUAUUAGGGAAGAACAUAUGUGUAAGUAACUGUGCACAGCUUGAAGGUACCUAAUCAGAAAGCCACGGCUAAAUACGUG